This is an RNA transcript of Panicum virgatum (switchgrass), 2266 nucleotides long. It is a transcript of the gene named indole-3-glycerol phosphate synthase-like, with no coding region annotated. Lineage: Eukaryota; Viridiplantae; Streptophyta; Magnoliopsida; Poales; Poaceae. The record is from RefSeq and is a predicted model, not a curated record. The transcript has 10 exons.
GCACCGAGCAUCACCUACUGCUCUCUUGCUGCUUCUCUCCACCUCCUCGGGCUCCGGCUCGCAUCUUCCACUUCCACCACCACAGGCCGGCCUCCUCCGUGCCCGCCCGCCGCCGAUGGAGGCCUCCGCCCUCGCCGCGGCCGUCGCCAGGGUGGCCUCUGUAUGCGCGCCGCGCUCCCCGUCGUCGUGGCCGACGGCGCGCGGCGCGCGCGCCGUCCGCUGCAACGCCACCACCGAGCAGCUCGCUGUGCCGCUGUGCACGCCGGAGCUGGGCCUGGGCCUGGGCGCCGAGAUGUUCAACUCGGCGGAGGUGGUCCUGUGGGAGAGCGGCAAGUCCGUCAACGCCAUCGCCGCCGCGCAGGGCAUCCGCGUGCGCCGCCGCUGCCGCCCCACCCACCCCUCCGAGGGCGUCGGCGCCGACCGGGCCGUCCCGCGCAGCGUCCUCGAGCAGAUCGUCUGGGACAAGGAGGUCGAGGUGUCCCAGCGCAAGGCCGCCGCGCCGCUCCACAGGGUCGCCGACUCCGCGCGGCGCGCGCCGCCGCCCAGAGACUUCGCCGCCGCGCUGCGCGCCGCGCGCGCCCGCAACGCCGGCGCCCCCGCGCUCAUCGCCGAGAUCAAGAAGGCGUCGCCGACCAGGGGCCUGCUCAGGGACACCUUCAACCCGGUCGAGAUUGCGCAGGCCUACGAGAAGAAUGGCGCCGCCUGCUUGAGCAUCCUCACUGACGAGAAGCACUUUCUGGGGAGCUUCGAGAAUCUGGAGACCAUACGCAACUCCGGUGUGAAUUGCCCUCUACUCUGCAAGGACUUCAUCAUCGACAUCUGGCAGAUCUACUAUGCGUGGUCGAAAGGCGCUGAUGCGAUCCUCCUGAUCGCCGCCGUGCUACCAGACCUUGACAUCAAGUACAUGCUUCGUGUUUGCAGGAGUCUUGGAAUGACAGCUCUUGUUGAGGUUCAUGAAGAGAGGGAGUUGGAUCGCGUACUGAAGAUAGACGGCGUGGAACUAAUUGGCAUCAACAAUCGCAGUCUAGGGACAUUUGAAGUCGAUACUUCAAACACAAACAUGUUGUUACAGAAACGUGGUGACAUCAUUAAGAAGAAGAACAUAAUGGUUGUGAGCGAAUCCGGAUUGUUUACGCCUGAUGAUGUAGCAUAUGUGCAGAAUGCUGGUGUUGCAGCUGUUUUGGUAGGAGAGUCCCUAUUGACGCAGGAAGAUCCUGGACGAGCAAUCGCUGGGCUGUUUGGGAAGGAACUCUUACUCUAAUCUGCUCCCCUUGUGCUCUAAGCUAAUUGUCGUAUGUAGCAAUCAUGGGCUGAUAAGUGGCUUCCAAGCGUAAAGAUUGCACAAGGAUUUCUUUAUCGUUUGUGGAGAGCAAGCUUAUGACGCUGCUAGGACAGCAGACAACAUAGCUCAGCUCCGAGUUUAUUAUCCAUCGAGGCAUCUCGCAGCACCGUACCAGAAAGAAUGUCAUGCCAAAACGAGAGACAACAUGUAAAUGCCAUUUUUCUAUUUGUGAUUGCGCCUGCAUUCGGAGCAAGCCUAAGGUGUCCACGUACGUCGGCCAAAAUUUUCGUGGCCGCUAGAUUUCACAUCCACGGGGCUCAUAGACCUGUCUGAUCUCUCCUGUUUUCUGCCUCCGUGGUCUUCCUUUCACACUGUCUUUCCAAUUUUUGUCAACGCGGCCUUCAAUUCUCACCGGGUCACACUGCCCCUGGCUGCCAUGCCCGUCAGCUCUCUUUCCCACUGCUCUUCUGGGAAGCUUCCUGCUGUCCAGGGUUCAACUUUUCGAUCGAAUUUCGCCGAAAUUUCGGUGUUUUUUUCGUUUUCGUUAGUUACCGGGAAGAGAAAUUCCGGUAUUUUUCGCCAUUUUUCGUUUUCAAAUUUAAACAUUCAAAAAUAUUUAUAAAAAUUUCGAAAAAAUAUGAUUAAAAACUAGGUGUUCUUGUGAGCAAAUAGGACUAAAACACACUCAAAUCUAAAAUCAUUUGCUAGGCCAAAAUUGUAUUUUAGUUGAAAAACAAGGUUAUUUGUAGUAUAAUGAGGUAGAAUUUAUAGCUUUUUAGUAUCCGACGCAGCUUGGCAUUUCUCCAGACCCCUCCUCGCUCUAUACAAAUUGCAUUUUAGGAAUUCUCUAUACAAAUUAAAUAAAAAAAAUUCAAACACUGUCACAUGAAUUGAUAACCAAUUCAAAUCAUGUUUGUCCUGGAUUUAAAACAACUUUCAAUUGGAUCAACCAAUGUCCCUGAAAUUUAAUAGCUAUAUCCGCAA